UGGGGAAUAUUGGACAAUGGGCGAAAGCCUGAUCCAGCCAUGCCGCGUGUGUGAAGAAGGUCUUCGGAUUGUAAAGCACUUUAAGUUGGGAGGAAGGGCAGUAAGCGAAUACCUUGCUGUUUUGACGUUACCGACAGAAUAAGCACCGGCUAACUCUGUGCCAGCAGCCGCGGUAAUACAGAGGGUGCAAGCGUUAAUCGGAAUUACUGGGCGUAAAGCGUGCGUAGGUGGUUCGUUAAGUUGAAUGUGAAAGCCCCGGGCUCAACCUGGGAACUGCAUCCAAAACUGGCGGGCUAGAGUAGGGCAGAGGGUGGUGGAAUUUCCUGUGUAGCGGUGAAAUGCGUAGAUAUAGGAAGGAACACCAGUGGCGAAGGCGACCACCUGGGCUCAUACUGACACUGAGGUGCGAAAGCGUGGGGAGCAAACAGG
RNAcentral lists this ribosomal RNA (429 nucleotides) under Pseudomonadota bacterium. Its description in RNAcentral is "Proteobacteria bacterium partial 16S ribosomal RNA". It matches the Rfam family "Bacterial small subunit ribosomal RNA", at positions 355 to 776 of the family's 1533-position model. The record is from RNAcentral. Lineage: Bacteria; Pseudomonadati; Pseudomonadota.